Non-coding RNA from Macaca mulatta (Rhesus monkey), 2815 nucleotides. The record is from RefSeq and is a predicted model, not a curated record. Lineage: Eukaryota; Metazoa; Chordata; Mammalia; Primates; Cercopithecidae.
CACGCCUGGCCUGACUUUUAUAUUUUAAGCAAGUUUUCAGUUUUUUUCAAGAUAGCAGUCAUGGGAAUAUUCUGAAUUCUGGAAAGAGUUUAGAGAGGUUAUUGCCUUCUUAAUAAUUUAGAGCGUCUAUUGCUCUGCCAAGUCGGAAGAUUAACAUUUAAUAGAAAAAAAUUAUAUAUCUAUAAUUCAGUCACAGCUAUUAGAUCAGAUGGAUUUUACAUUAAGUGAAAAAGAUGUUGAGCAUUUAAGGACCAUUAAACUACAGGACUCUUUUAUUGGGUUUUAAGGCCCCCAAGCCAGGGUCCUGCUGCGAAGAGUAUUUAUUUUACAUAUACAGAACCCAUUAAGGAUGGGAAAGGGGCACACAUUUUAAAAGAAAAUAGGCCAUGAAAAAGUGUGAUUUUCUACAUUGUGAACAGCUACCAAACAGAUUCAGUCUUAUAAUAAUUAGUUUUAUGCAUCAUUAAGUAGCUUGCUUACCGGCUAGAAGAAUAUGGUGAAGCCCAUUUUAAAAGUGGUACCUGCAGGAAAUCCAAGUAGCUACAUGUCCUUUGUUGAUAUUUCACUUAGAGAAACUGCGUUUCUAGUAGUUUCCAGGAUUCUUAAGGUUGCGAUGUAUUGUCAGGAAUUUAAGUUUGGAAAUGCCUUCUUCAGUGGUCCUUAAGGACCAUGAAAACAAAGACCCAGAGAGGAGUUCUAGUAAGUGUUUACUUUUUCUAGCAAUGCUCAAAUUAUCAAUGAGAGAGUGGAAUUUGACCCUUGAGAAGAAUCACUUGCCUAUUGGAAGAAAGUCUGCACCAUUCUCUUUAUUAAGUGCUUAUCACAAUCCCAUUGUUGGAAUUAAUACCUUAAUAUAAGUUUUUCUUACUAUUUACACCAUGCCUCCUGCCCCAUUCCUACUUCCAAAAAUGGAAGAGUUUUAGAAGUUUAAAAGCAAAUAGACUCAGGGAGGAUGUGAGAAUGGAGUUAAUAUAAUUUGUAACUUUUUCCCCCCUACAAUGUCCAAACAAAUUUGGUGAUUUUCUUUCUUGCUAUUCUAGGCUUUUUUAAAUUGCCUCUGACUAAAGUGGCACCUUAUGGGCUGCUUCAGAAAUUUUCUUCAGGAUUUAAAAAUGAAGCCGAUUCAUAUUCAGAGUCUUCCUGCUGAAAAUCUGUUAAGCCAAAAUAAAAAUGACUGCUACUUAAAUUUUUUUCCCUCUUUGUUGUUGCUGCAAACAUUGUCUCACUUACAGGAGUUGCAGGAUCUCAUUUAUGCAGUUAAAACUCACUCUGCUUUGUACAAAUGGAGAGAGAUGAACCAUCCCAGGACUAGCAAUACAAGUCUUAAGGAUUAAAGUGCAUCUGCCUCAAUCAAAUACAUGCGAGCUGCACUCCUGAGUGUGGAGGGUUUUUUUUUUUUUUUAAGUGAAUUGUUCCAGUUGGCCUUAAUCCCUAAGCAAUAUAGCUCCUUUAAAACCAUCUUUAUUCAUUCACACCAAUUGACACUUAAAAUCCCCCAGCCACUGUUCAUCUAAGUCUAAAUAUAGCUGUUAGAGUCAAAUGUGUUUAAGAGGAUUUGCAAUCUGAUUAUCCAAAAUACUAUUUAUUGUCAAUGUUUUUGGUGUGCCAUGGCCAAUCUUAUUAUUAUAAUGUACAUAGCCAUUUAACGGCAGCAGAGCCUAAAAUAUAUCACAGCAAUUGGGAUAACCUGAAGGAAGGCUUUUCUCCAGCUCCGCGCUGUCAUUCUGGCACAGCUUGUUGUGUGGUUACGAACAUCAGAAAGAAUUCCUUAAUAAGCUCUUGCUCUCCUUCCAGACCCUUUUGGGCAAGCCCUCCAUGUUCUCUAAGUAGAGAGCAGUUACCAGGACAACAGAGAAUUUGAGGAAGAUUUAAUUGUGAUUUGAUGUCUAACCAGAAUAAAGAGCUAGUGCCUUGAAUUUAUAUUCUAGGUUUCCAAGCAAAUGUCAAUAUGCAUAUUUAUUAUUUUUGCCCUUCCUCAUUAUAAAAAGGAUUUUAAGAUGGCUCACAUUUUUUUUUUUUGUUAAUAUGGGAGAGGAGAAUGGGGAUGAUAAAUACUAAAAGGAUAGGAAAAACAAGCAACAACUUGUUGUGCAGGAAACAUGCCAGUUAACAAUAUAAUACCCUGCUUUUCUGGGGCUGACCUCAGUUUGACUCUGAACUUCCUAGUGGCCAAUGUAGUGAUGAAAACAUCACAUAUGUGAGACAUGGUGUCAGACACAGCACAGGUAUUCCUGGUUCUGAAACUGGCCUGGUGUUCCCCGUGGGUCCAGCACAUCAGUUGGUAUACAUCUCAAGCUGGAGUGCGCAGUGCCUCAGGGCACAUGCCCUGGGAUAAAAAUGGCACAUCUUCCUAAAGUGCUUCCAUCGGACUUAAUGGACUGCAGGUUCCCAUCUACACCCUUCACAUGAAUUCCGAAAGAAAGAAGAGGCAACAAUGCUCUGUCCACUGAAAAAGCCUUGGUGCAGUAACAGCCCAGGAGCAGAGAGACCACCUAGUACCCAGAUCUUGAUUUCUAAAUGCUGUUACCCACCAGAAGGAACUAAAAUUUUCUGCAGAAAUGGCUGACUCCAGAUCCAUGGAAAUGAAGCUCCAUGUUAAGCCUGGGAGGUCUUAUGGUCCCAAGAAGGAAAGAUAUGUUUAAAAACUACUGAGGUCACAAGGAAAGGAUGCGGAAGCUGACUUGAGGGAUCUGCCUGGCUAAGUUCGGGACUACUGAGCAUCAGAAAGAAUGAGUGUAAGGGGGCCAGGUGUGGUGGCUCAUGCCUGUAAUCCCAGCACUUUGGGAGGUCAAGGUGGGCGGAUCACGAGGUCAAG